Molecule: ribosomal RNA, 419 nt
Filed under: uncultured bacterium
Lineage: Bacteria
Description: bacterial SSU rRNA
Rfam family: Bacterial small subunit ribosomal RNA
Source: RNAcentral
GGGCCCGCACAAGCGGUGGAGCAUGUGGUUUAAUUCGAUGCAACGCGAAGAACCUUACCUGGUCUUGACAUACACAGAAUCUUGUAGAGAUACGAGAGUGCCUUCGGGAAUUGUGAUACAGGUGCUGCAUGGCUGUCGUCAGCUCGUGUCGUGAGAUGUUGGGUUAAGUCCCGCAACGAGCGCAACCCUCAUCUUCAGUUGCUAACGCCUAGGGCGAGCACUUUGGAGAAACUGCCUGGGAUGACUAGGAGGAAGGCGAGGAUGACGUCAAGUCCUCAUGGCCCUUAUGGGCUGGGCUACACACGUGCUACAAUGGCGGUGACAACGGGAAGCAAUUGGGCAACCUUGAGCAAAAGCCUAUCGUAGUCCAGAUUGGAGUCUGCAACUCGACUCCAUGAAGUAGGAAUCGCUAGUAAUCG